UAUGAGCUAUUUAUGGGAAGCUUUCAACCACAUUUCUAGCAUUAUUGACAAGAUCUACAAGCAGCUAACCAAGAGCAAUACACAUCAAAUGGGUGGGACUGCUUAUCUAAACCUAGAGAAUGAGGAUGAUCCGUUUCUACAUGGUAUAAAGUAUACUACAAUGUCCCCAACAAAGCGUUUUCGUGACAUGGAAAAGCUCUCUGGAGGAGAGAAAACAGUUGCGGCCUUGGCAUUGCUCUUCUCCAUCCAUAGGUAUCCCUAAAGACCUAGUGACUUUGUCAUCUUGUUAGGUUUUGAGGUUCUGAUGAAGUUGCUGGUACUGUUUUCCCUUUCCAUCUUCUCAGCUACAGGCCUUCGCCUUUUUUCAUACUGGAUGAAGUGGAUGCUGCGCUCGAUAAUCUAAACGUUGCAAAAGUUGCUCAGUUUAUUCGUACCAGAUCCUGCCAAGCCGCAUGUGACAAUCAGGAAGCAAAGGAUGGGAAUGGCUUUCAAAGCAUUGUAAUAUCUCUCAAGGACAGCUUCUAUGACAAGGCCGAAGCGCUUGUUGGAGUUUACAGAGACGUCGAGAAGAGGUGAUGAUUCCCACAUCAAAUCUCUACUUGUAUCUUAUUUAACCAUGCGUGCUACCAUUAUUUUGGCUAAUAUCUGAGAACUUGUUCACGAUUCAUUUGCUGCAGUUGCUCGACUACAAUGUCGUUUGAUCUUAGGAACUACCAAGAAUCGUGAUAGGUUCUGAAUAAGAAAAUGAACGAAUUAAACGAGAGGAGACAAGAUAGCAGCGGAAAGCUACCAAUGCUUGACAGUCAACUGCAAGACUAUUUUCGAAUGUGAGUUUGAAAGAUAUAAGGUUUUUCCCUCUCUUUUAGUCAGAAGCAUUGCCAUUUUCCAACUGUCUUGAGGUUAUCAAUGUUCACCAACUUGCAUUCUCUAUGUGAUCGAUUUAGUGGUGACAUGAAUACUUGGGUUUACUUGCUAUUUCACACUCUAUUUUAUCAAGUUUAGUGAACGAAUUGUUGGGUGGGCAUUUAGUAAGUCUUUUCUCUGCUUUGAAGAAUGGUCUAACCAAACAAAUUGUUAAGCGUUUUGUUUGACAGAAUGACAUAUAUUUGGUUGUUUUUACAAGCUAUUAUAUUUGCUGUCCUUCUGAGUUUUUGUACUAUUCUUCUAGAUUCACCAUCUACAUGCAUAUUCUUCCACCCUUUUGAAUCCUUAUGAACCACUUUGUUUUCUUAUCGAUUUUCCUUCAUGUUUAUCAAUCUCAGAAAAGAAGAAGCUGGGAUGAAAACCAUCAAGCUAAGAGAUGAGAAAGAGGUUCUAGAUAGGCAAUAUCACGCUGAUCUCGAAGCAUUGAGGAAUCUGGAAGAAAACUAUCAGCAACUAAUAAAUAGGGAGAAUGAUCUUGAUGAACAAAUUGAGCGAAUGAAAUCCAGGCAAAAAGAGAUCGACGAUUCUUCUUCGGAAUAUAAGAAUGAACACUGCAAGAAAAGCAUCGAGAUGCCAGGUUAGUAUGUGUCCUCCACUCACUAGAUUGUCUAGUGUCAGAAAGUUGUGUUUUUAUUUUAAUCUGAUAGUUUCUAACCCGCUUCUACGAUGCACAGAAAGGCGUCUGAGAAAUUGAAGACUAGUAUCGCAGAAUUAGAAGACCGGUUGAGUGAUCUAACGGCUGAAAGAUACGAAAAUGAGAGAGAUAGUAGGCUAACGCAGGCUGUUGAGUCUCUCAAGCGUCUAUUUCAAGGAGUUCAUGGUCGGAUGACUGAUCUUUGUCGACCAAACCGGAAGAAGUACAACCUUGCAGUUACUGUUGCUAUGGGGAGAUUUAUGGAUGCAGUAGUUGUAGAAGAUGAAAACACCGGAAAGGACUGCAUCAAGGUAUUUCGUAUAUGCUUCUUGUUUUGUUCCAUAGUUGUGCAUACUUUUUCAUAAUUCUAUCUCUUCUCAGCUGACAAUUACAGUUUAUUUGAAUAAGAUAUUCUUUACCAUAAUACUAUACUCUAGCCUAUGCCAACAAAUUAAUAGUGCAUUAAACACUACCACCUCUUAACGGUGAUCAAUUCAUAUUAUUGCUAAGUAGGGAAAAUGUGUUAUAAAAGAGUAGGUAGCAUGUAGGAUGUAAUUAUCUUUAUGCAUAUUUCGUUUCAUAUAAUUAAGAAUUGAGCCCCAUUCUGUGUUCCUUGGCUUCAACUUGACUUUGCGGAUCUUUUUUUACAUUGAUUCAAAACAAUACGAAGAACAUGUUGAAAAUCAUUUUCUACCACUACUCUAGGUAUGGGAUAAAAUGAGUUUAUUUGUUAUUUGCAGUACCUGAAAGAACAAAGGCUUCCUCCUAUGACAUUUAUUCCUCUUCAGUCAGUACGUGUCAAGCCAGUGCUUGAAAGAUCGAGAAAUUUGGGCGGCACAGCGAAGCUGGCGCUCGAUGUUAUCCAAUAUCCUUUGUGGGUAGCUUGAGAUCAUUUGGAUGUAUUAUAUCAUAGAUCGACCAACGUAGGAAGGUUAAUGUGAGAAGGUUUCCAGUUUAUGUUUUUAAACCUUAACCACGCCACGUUCGAUCCUGAAUUGGAGAAGGCGGUCCUCUUUGCUGUUGGAAAUACUCUUGUCUGUGACGAUCUUGAAGAAGCAAAAUCUAACAAAUGGGAUGAUAAGAAAAUUAAAGGUUUGAAUUAUUGAGUUGUCACCAACUGGUUUAAAGUGCCUUCACUUUCAGGGUCUGAAGACUCAUCAUGAUUUCGGUUGUGCAGGACUGGUGAAAAAGAAAGAAGAAUGUGAACAAGAAUUGGAAAAUAUUGGAUCUAUUCGAGAGAUGCAGAUAAAGGAGUCCGAAAUAUCUGGUAAAAUAAGUGGAAUUGAGAAAAAGAUUCAAUAUGCGGAAAUUGAGAAGGUUAACCAAUUUAUCUUUUCCAAGAUGCUUACUUUUAUAAUUUACUUCAGUGUAUACUGUUCAGGAAUUACUAAUUAGUGGAUUUGUUUUACAGAAAAGCAUCAAAGACAAACUUCCAGAUCUUGAGCAAGACAAGCGGAAUAUUACUGAAGAAAGUAGACGCAUAAAUCUUGAACUUUCUAAGGUAAUCUAAUAUCUUUUUUCUGAUAUUUGGUAAAUUUUUAAAAGCCGAUGACAAUAAUAUGACUGAGUGCCGUUGGUAUUAUAGUCAAGAGCUGAGGUUGAUAAGAGGAAUGCAGAGAUCAGGAAGUUGGAGAAAAUAAUCAAUGAGAUUGUGGACGGUAUCUAUAAGGAUUUUAGCCAGUCUGUUGGUGUUGCUAACAUACGUGAAUAUGAAGAAAAGCAGCUCAAGGAGGCUCAAGAAGUGGCUGAAGAAAGGCUGAAUCUGAGUAACCAGCUUGCUAAGUUAAAAUACCAGUAUGUCGUCUCUUAUGCUCUGUUUUUCUGGUUACAUAUAACUUCUCAAAAUCUAUCUAUUUCUUAUGUCCAUUUCUCUGCUCCGACCCUGAAGUCGACUUUUCAUCUGUUUUUUCUCGGUUCUGGUUAAGAAUAAACUUUUUGCUGCGCAUCAUAUUGGUCUUGCAUUUUGACUUUCACGUACCUCAUAGAAAAGAAAGUCACUACAACUCUGUGAGAUUUAUGUGAUUAAUAGGCAGCUAUUUGAUAAGAACCUUGGUAUUAUCUUCCUCAAACACAAACAAUUGUAGUAUACGAUCCUCUCACGAGCAUAAUCGCAUUAUUCUACAAUGUUCACCCUCUCUCAGACUAUUACAGUUUCGAUAUCCUUUUACAUUGUAAAGUUUUGUAUUUAUACUAAGCUGAAAAGAAAUAACUGCAAAGUCUCUCAAUCUCUCAGAGUCUUUGAUCAGCUUUCAAAUGUUUUCUUCUUCCAACUGCUUUCAAAUAACUACAGCUCUGUGAGAUUUAUGUGAUUAAUAGGCAGCUAUUGUCUACCUUAUCAAGUGUGUAAAGGUCAUUAUAUGUAGUUUUGUAAAAAUCUUAAUGUCAAACUCUGCAAUACGUUAGCUGGCUUGCUAAGUUGCCAUACUGCUUUCUAAUGAAUGGAACUCGAGUUGUCCAAAUGGAAGCCUUUUUUCUUGGUCAACUUAAAUAGAGUUUAUUGAAUUUCAGGGUGGAAUACGAGCAAAACCGAGAUGUGGGGUCACGAAUUCGAAAGCUAGAAUCUUCUGUCAGUUCCUUGGAAGCUGAUUUGGAAAAAAUACAGAAGAGGAAGUCUGAACUCAAGGAGUUAACAGAAAAAGCUACUAAUGAAAUCAACAAUUGGAAGAAGGAAAUGCUAGGUAUUUGAUUCUGUCUCUACUUAAAUCUGAUGGCCUCGAUUCUAUGCUAUGUUUUUUCAAUUACUAGAGCCUUUAUGAUUUGUCAAUUUGAUGGUUUCAUUCAUAGUAAGACAUCAACAUGAUUCAGUAUAGUACAUUGUCCGUGUUGAGUUUGCUUCGUCACUAUUGAUGACCUCUUAUGUUGGAGCCUUGAUACUGGAGUAAUGAAAUAUGGAAUAAAAUAUGGAACAUUCUUACUCUUUUGCGAGACUGUCUAAUUGUAUGGAUCUUUAAUCACUCUUUAACAAAUUGAUUGUUUCGUUACAUUGAUCCUUGAUGUUUGUAGAUAUCUCUGACUUUGGUUUGAACAAAAGUUGGUACGUACAUGAUCUGCUAGACCUCAUGCGUUAAUUGUAUGGUUACACUUCAUCAUAAAAGAAGCGAUCAUAUUAAGAUAAAAUGCUAGUUGCUGACAAAUGGCCAAUGUGAUGAUUCAGUAUUAUAGAUUCUCUUCCCUUGUUAUCAUCUUUGCUUAAACUAAUAUAAGCAUAGGUAACCUAUACCUGUCUGAUGUUCUUUGCCUAGCACAAAUCUGCAGCGGUUUCUUCUUUCACUGAGGUGCGUAUAUUCUAAUACUCUUGCUUGCAGAGUGCAAACAAAAAUCAGAAGAGUAUGAAAAGGAAAUCCUGGAUUGGAAAAAGCAGGUUUCUCAAGUGACAACAAGCAUAACCAAACUCAGUCGUCAGAUACUUUCUAAGGUAAAAUGGAGACUCAUUAAAUCCUUUCCCAAAGAUCUGGUAUGUCUCUAAGUAUAGGUCCACUAAAGCUCUUUUUGCUAUCAGGAAACGCAAAUUGGGCAGCUGAUCUCGCAAAAACAGGAAAUAACUGAGCAGUGUGAGCUCGAACGUAUUACCCUUCCUGUUUUAUCAGAUGCUGCGGAGGAAGAUGACUCAGCUGGGCCACAGUUUGACUUUAGUGAGUUGGAUAGAGUUUAUCUCAAAGAACGGAGACCAUCUGCUCGUGACAAGAUAGAUGCGGAAUUUAGGCAGAAAAUAGAAUCUGAAACAUCAGAGGUUGAAAGAACGGCCCCAAACUUGAGAGCACUUGACCAGUACGAGGCUAUACAGGAGAAAGAAAGACAAGUUAGCCAGGAGUUUGAAGCUGCCAGGAAGGAGGAGAAACAAAUGGCGGAUGCAUACAAUGUCGUAAAGCAGAAGAGGUAACUCGAAAUUUCUCUUGUGAAUGAUCUCAGCUUUGAAGAAUGUUGCUACCAAAUAGCAUCGACUUUAUAGUGGAACCAAAACUCGACAAAUAAAAGUCUGAAGAUUCUAGUUCUGUGGAAAGUACCUAAUAGAGUUACUCUUUGGAUAAACGCCAUGAUUAGAGUUUUUGCUGCUGACUACGAACUGUUUGUGCAGGUAUGAGCUAUUUAUGGGAAGCUUUCAACCACAUUUCUAGCAUUAUUGACAAGAUCUACAAGCAGCUAACCAAGAGCAAUACACAUCAAAUGGGUGGGACUGCUUAUCUAAACCUAGAGAAUGAGGAUGAUCCGUUUCUACAUGGUAUAAAGUAUACUACAAUGUCCCCAACAAAGCGUUUUCGUGACAUGGAAAAGCUCUCUGGAGGAGAGAAAACAGUUGCGGCCUUGGCAU
RNAcentral lists this long non-coding RNA (5867 nucleotides) under Brassica napus (rape). RNAcentral describes it as "long non-coding RNA (BNAP_LNC024883)". Lineage: Eukaryota; Viridiplantae; Streptophyta; Magnoliopsida; Brassicales; Brassicaceae. The record is from RNAcentral.